GGGCCUACGGGAGGCAGCAGUGGGGAAUAUUGGGCAAUGGAGGAAACUCUGACCCAGCGACGCCGCGUGAGUGGAUGAAGGCCUUCGGGUUGUAAACCUCUUUCAGUAGGGAAGAAGCGAAAGUGACGGUACCUACAGAAGAAGCACCGGCUAACUAUGUGCCAGCAGCCGCGGUAAUA
RNAcentral lists this ribosomal RNA (179 nucleotides) under uncultured bacterium. RNAcentral describes it as "partial 16S ribosomal RNA". It matches the Rfam family "Bacterial small subunit ribosomal RNA", at positions 335 to 525 of the family's 1533-position model. The record is from RNAcentral.